RNAcentral lists this transfer RNA (66 nucleotides) under Caecilia volcani. Its description in RNAcentral is "tRNA-His". It matches the Rfam family "tRNA". From Rfam's summary of the family: Transfer RNA (tRNA) molecules are approximately 80 nucleotides in length. Their secondary structure includes four short double-helical elements and three loops (D, anti-codon, and T loops). Lineage: Eukaryota; Metazoa; Chordata; Amphibia; Gymnophiona; Caeciliidae. The record is from RNAcentral.
GUAAAUAUAGUUUAAACAAAACAUUAGAUUGUGAUUCUAAAAUUAAAAACUGCCUUUUUAUUUACC